RNAcentral lists this ribosomal RNA (588 nucleotides) under Triticum aestivum (bread wheat). Its description in RNAcentral is "partial small subunit ribosomal RNA". Lineage: Eukaryota; Viridiplantae; Streptophyta; Magnoliopsida; Poales; Poaceae. The record is from RNAcentral.
AUGGGAUUUCUACUACAAGUAUUGAAUAUGUCCUUGCAAAAUGAAACUAUUUUCAUCGACAACAUGGCUUUAGCAGGUCUCUGCGCCAUUUGGCGCAACGGGUCAACUAGUUUGGAUAAAAAUCAGAGGAGAUCCUCACCUUGUUGGAUGAGCUCAUCCUUCAACAGCACCUCAAGGCCAUGGCCUGAGAGGAGGGGAGGGGGAAUAAGGUGCCUUCUGCCGCAGUGUGGCAUCAGCCGUAGUUGUGCAGCGCCCGCCGGAGUAGUGCGUUGGACGAACCACAGUGGAGCAGCUGCUGGACACCAUGAGAAUGAGGGGUGGUGCCAGAGGGAGGAGCAGCCAGGGAGAUUUGCCCCUACCCGCUGGCCAUGUAGCCUACCUAGACAUAGCAUCAUUGAGGACCAGGUCAGAUGGGACCAAUGGCGACGGCUCGCUGGAGGAACCCUAGUGCUGCAGGCAGGGGAUCGAGGUAGAGGGAAAGGGGAGAGGAUAUGCAAGUGGGCAGGAAAUGAAUGCUUGCAUGUUUGUUUUUACUUGAGGGUCAGGUGUGACACGAGCAUCUGCAGUUGCAUUUUGAGUGUAAUAUAG